Long non-coding RNA from Daphnia magna, 382 nucleotides. RefSeq lists it as uncharacterized. NCBI's taxonomy places the organism in Eukaryota, Metazoa, Arthropoda, Branchiopoda, Diplostraca, Daphniidae. The transcript has 3 exons. The record is from RefSeq and is a predicted model, not a curated record.
GAACAUCAUGCUGUAUACAUAGUUAUGCAGUCUCGAUGUGUGUGUGUAUAACAGCCGUUCGUCCACAACUGGCGAAGCAAUCAUCGAAAUCGAUAAUCGACAAAAAGAUGGAACGACGCACAGCAGCACAGCUAUAUAGGGAUCUAUUCAAUCGGCAUCCAUAAAUGCCACAGCUGCUAUCUCUCGCUUUUGGCUGCUUGCCACAGCAUGUCGGACAAAACAAACCACUCGAUCUCGCCAUCAGCCAUUUGUUCUCGUUUACAUAUUGUUAUUGAUCCGUGCUGUUAGAGACAGUCCCCCGUCAAUACAUAUAGACCUAUACUCUUGUUAAUUGCACAAUCACGGCCAGGAUUUUGAGUGAAAAAAAAAAUGAUGACAGGAU